AGAGUUUGAUCGUGGCUCAGGAUGAACGCUAGCGGCAGGCUUAAUACAUGCAAGUCGUGGGGCAGCGCAGUGUAGCAAUACAUGGGCGGCGACCGGCAAACGGGUGCGGAACACGUACACAACCUUCCUACAAGUGGGGAAUAGCCCAGAGAAAUUUGGAUUAAUACCCCGUAACAUAUAGAGAUGGCAUCAUUUUUAUAUUAUAGCUAUGGCGCUUGUUGAUGGGUGUGCGGCUGAUUAGGUAGUUGGCGGGGUAACGGCCCACCAAGCCUUCGAUCAGUAGUUGAUGUGAGAGCAUGAUCAGCCACACGGGCACUGAGACACGGGCCCGACUCCUACGGGAGGCAGCAGUAAGGAAUAUUGGACAAUGGGCGCAAGCCUGAUCCAGCCAUGCCGCGUGAAGGAUUAAGGUCCUCUGGAUUGUAAACUUCUUUUAUAAGGGACGAAAAAAGGGAAUUCUUUCUCACUUGACGGUACCUUAUGAAUAAGCACCGGCUAACUCCGUGCCAGCAGCCGCGGUAAUACGGAGGGUGCAAGCGUUAUCCGGAUUCACUGGGUUUAAAGGGUGCGUAGGCGGAUAUUUAAGUCAGUGGUGAAAUCCUAGAGCUUAACUCUAGAACUGCCAUUGAUACUAUUUAUCUUGAAUAUUGUGGAGGUAAGCGGAAUAUGUCAUGUAGCGGUGAAAUGCUUAGAUAUGACAUAGAACACCUAUUGCGAAGGCAGCUUACUACGCAUAUAUUGACGCUGAGGCACGAAAGCGUGGGGAUCAAACAGGAUUAGAUACCCUGGUAGUCCACGCCCUAAACGAUGGAUACUCGGCAUACGCGAUACACUGUGUGUGUCUGAGC
Molecule: ribosomal RNA, 848 nt
Filed under: uncultured bacterium
Lineage: Bacteria
Description: bacterial SSU rRNA
Rfam family: Bacterial small subunit ribosomal RNA
Source: RNAcentral